This is an RNA transcript of Cuculus canorus (common cuckoo), 2233 nucleotides long. RefSeq lists it as uncharacterized. The transcript has 3 exons. The record is from RefSeq and is a predicted model, not a curated record. NCBI's taxonomy places the organism in Eukaryota, Metazoa, Chordata, Aves, Cuculiformes, Cuculidae.
GCAGAAAAAUAGCCAGUUACUGUUGUGCCGCUCUCAAGGGGUUCGCUCCUAUUUCUGUAGCAAAGGUUAACUAGCCUGCAAGCGUAGGCUAGGCCAUUGUAUCAUGGAUUUGAAAGAAACCUGUGCCCUUGAUAGGAGAUAAAUACAAGCUGGACCUGCCUGUGUCAUCUGUAUUUCUUAAAAAAAAGAUGUGAGGAUAGGAGCAGGUGACAAUAAUGCUUUCUCUCACUCAAAUGUAGCCUUCAACCCAGGUGAAUGUCUUUCCUAGGGGAAGACAGGGCACACGGCAUAACAGAAUCUCUGGCUCUGGAUGAGGAUCCCAUGUGACAGAAAGCUUAUAAAAUGGAUUUGCAGAAAAUCUGCUCGACCAUACUGGCCUAAAAGUCACAGCAGUUUCUUACUGUUUCUUUUUCAUAACAGGUAAGCAAUUCCUUACUUAUCCCACAGUCAAUUUAACUGGAAGGUUUUGCAUUCAUGGCUUCAGCUAACUGGGAUUAACAUCUCAGUGUGUCACCAUUUUAGGCAAGCUUCCGUGAUUGUUGUUUUCUUAAUCUCUUUAGUUUCCCUGUGGAGUUCAGACAGAGCUUUGACCCUGGCUGUUGAAAGGAAGAAACUGUUAGUUUUUCUAACCUAAGGGACAGAGGAAUUGCUAAUUACUAAAAAUACAUUUGAGGCGUGUUCAUCGGCUUUUGGUUUCUUUUACUAUCUUUUAUCAACCAAAGACCUUAAUUUCAGCUCAAAUUAUUGGGUAUAUUUUGUGUCUUCAUGUCUCUGAUCCCCUUCCCUUUCAUUAGCAGAAAGAGACUGUCACUGAUACUGGCUGCAUGGCCAAGAGGCAAAAGGUUCCCUGUAACACUUCUAAUCCACUGAUUCAUCUGGUAUGUGCAAGGAUUUAUUUUGCCUUUAAUUUAGAUUUAAUUUGGCUUUUUUCCAUGCAAGGAUAUUUGUUUUCCAGAAUUGUUUUCAACAAUCUGCUAAGGACUGUAGUCCUUUCCAAAAUGUCUGAGGAUUUCUUGCCCCUUGAAAUUGGUCACGCAUUCCCUAGGAGGAUUUUCCAUAGAUGAUUUGAUGUCUAUGGGAUGGGAGAGAUUAUCUUCCUAUGUCUAUUCUCAGCUUUGGUCCAACUGCUGCCCGAGGAGUGACCAGCAGUUUGACCCAAUGUCUAUGCCAGUGCUCAAGCAAGUGCUGAGAUCUUUUGAAAAUCCCACCUCAAAUAUGUAGGUGGAAAUACACCCACUCCAGUAGGUGAGAACAUGAGGUGACCUAAUCUCUAGAUUUAAGCCCAACAUUGAUGCCAGUAGCACAACUGACUUGACUUAGUUGUAUUGCUCCUGAUGUGCACUGGUACGGGGAUUCAGACAGGCUGAUGCAAAACUACAGGAAAGUUUACUAAAAUAAAGGAAUAUCCAAUAAGGGAAUAAGAGAGAAACAUUUUCACUUCAAAAGGACUCAAAGAGACUACAUAAAAAACACAGUAAUGUGCCUUUGAUAUUGCAUUUUAUGGAGUUUUUUCAUCCCUUUUUAGGACAAGGGCACUCAUCUCUGGCAGGAUCUCCUUGGAAACGCUGGUUGUAGAAAGCCAUUCUGUCCCCAACAGACAGCACAUCUGUAUGCUGGCAAGCUCAUUCCGAGCAGCCGAGCUUCAUUCAGCGUUUGUGCGUGUUCACAGGAGCAGCUUGGUGGGUAGCGAGAUUCAGACGUUAGUUCUGCCUGUCUGCAAGCAUCCCUGGGGAUCACUGUAUCCUUUCAUAAUUAGGCUGAAUAUUAGGAACAGUUCUUCUCUGCUAAAAUUCAUUAGGGGCUUCCAGGGUUGGAUCCUUUUACACAUGCCUAUACCAUUUGUUUGAUUUUAAGCCAUGCUGUGAGGCAGUAGCUGGGUUUUUCAUACAGUAGCUCAGCAUAAAGGGGUUAGUUUAAAUCUUGCGCACUUGAUCUUUGUACUUGGACAACGUCCUUGCAAUGUAACGCACGCUGUCAGCCCUGGGUUUGCUGUAAUUUCUACUUUUUUUAUACGCCUACAGUGCUAAGCAUGUGCUACGCAGACCCAGCGCGGUGGGAUUUUCCAAACAGACUGACCCACAGCUGCAGGAUGAAGGCCUAUGGGACCAGACCUGAUCCGCCCAAGAAUACCGAGGAAGUGAUGAAGUCACUGGAGGCGUUCAAAGAACAUGUAGAUGUGGCACAUCAUGACAUGGUUUAGUAGGCAUGGUGAGGCUGCACCGGGUGAUCUUAG